CAGGCGAUACGGNCAUAACUAGAGUGCUGUAGGGGAGACUGGAAUUCCUGGUGUAGCGGUGGAAUGCGCAGAUAUCGGGAGGAACACCGAUGGCGAAGGCAGNUCUCUGGGCAGUAACUGACGCUGAGGAGCGAAAGCAUGNGGAGCGAACAGGAUUAGAUACCCUGGUAGUCCAUGCUGUAAACGGUGGGCGUUAGGUGUGGGGACCGGUUUGGUUUCUGUGCCGUAGCUAACGCAUUAAGCGCCCCGCCUGGGGAGUACGGCCGCAAGGCUAAAACUCAAAGGAAUUGACGGGGGCCCGCACAAGCGGCGGAGCAUGUGGAUUAAUUCGAUGCAACGCGAAGAACCUUACCUGGGUUUGACAUGCACCAGACGGUUGUAGAGAUACGUACCUCCCUUUGUGGUUGGUGUGCAGGUGGUGCAUGGUUGUCGUCAGCUCGUGUCGUGAGAUGUUGGGUUAAGUNNNNNANNNNNCGCAACCCUUGUCUUAUGUUGCCAGCACUUUGGGUGGGGACUCAUGAGAUACAGCCGGGGUUAACUCGGAGGAAGGUGGGGAUGACGUCAAAUCAUCAUGCCCUUUAUGCCCAGGGCUUCACACAUGCUACAAUGGUUAGUACAACGCGCUGCGAGCCUGUGAGGGUGAGCGAAUCGCUGAAAGCUAAUCUCAGUUCGGAUUGGGGUCUGCAACUCGACCCCAUGAAGUCGGAGUCGCUAGUAAUCGCAGAUCAGCAAUGCUGCGGUGAAUACGUUCCUGGGCCUUGUAC
Molecule: ribosomal RNA, 764 nt
Filed under: uncultured bacterium
Lineage: Bacteria
Description: bacterial SSU rRNA
Rfam family: Bacterial small subunit ribosomal RNA
Source: RNAcentral